RNAcentral lists this ribosomal RNA (465 nucleotides) under uncultured Klebsiella sp. RNAcentral's name for it is "bacterial SSU rRNA". It matches the Rfam family "Bacterial small subunit ribosomal RNA", at positions 338 to 795 of the family's 1533-position model. The record is from RNAcentral. Lineage: Bacteria; Pseudomonadati; Pseudomonadota; Gammaproteobacteria; Enterobacterales; Enterobacteriaceae.
CCUACGGGUGGCUGCAGUGGGGAAUAUUGCACAAUGGGCGCAAGCCUGAUGCAGCCAUGCCGCGUGUGUGGAGAAGGCCUUCGGGUUGUAAAGCACUUUCAGCGGGGAGGAAGGCGGUGAGGUUAAUAACCUCAUCGAUUGACGUUACCCGCAGAAGAAGCACCGGCUAACUCCGUGCCAGCAGCCGCGGUAAUACGGAGGGUGCAAGCGUUAAUCGGAAUUACUGGGCGUAAAGCGCACGCAGGCGGUCUGUCAAGUCGGAUGUGAAAUCCCCGGGCUCAACCUGGGAACUGCAUUCGAAACUGGCAGGCUAGAGUCUUGUAGAGGGGGGUAGAAUUCCAGGUGUAGCGGUGAAAAGCGUAGAGAUCUGGAGGAAUACCGGUGGCGAAGGCGGCCCCCUGGACAAAGACUGACGCUCAGGUGCGAAAGCGUGGGGAGCAAACAGGAUUAGAUACCCCUGUAGUC